GCCAACUCGCUGCUUUUCAACGUUUUCACUGCAAAAAAAGUAAAAAUACCUAAUUCACGGAAACUAGAUCCCGCGCGCGUUGUCCAUAUUCCCGAUAUGACAUUGACAGAUGCUCGAAUAUGGAAAAGCGCGCGAAUGCCGCGUACAUUUUUAAAUCACGAACAGAAAACGAUAAUCUGUGAGGAGUGACGUGUCACGUGGUAUUUCGAUCUGUCAAAAUGUGACAGAGAUAGAAGAUAGGAAGGGGGAGCGAUCGCGUGCACGUACGAUCAGGACGGAAGUGCGUCACUUGCGGCGGAAGUGACGUCACGGGUCGGAAGCGAGCAGCGCCGGAGCCGGAAGGCCGGUCACGGUACCGUCUUGAGGUCGAAGAAACUAACGGGUGUGACUAAAAAGGCAAUAUCAGAUGGCAUCGACUGGCACGGAGCACUGCGAAUGUGGCUGCGUGUUGUCCAGAAGAGUGGACCAUUGUUGUAAACAAGCCGGGAAGCUUGAGUAGGUCAAGAAAAUAUUCCAUUAUUUAUUGGACACGAAAACAAUUAGCUCCAACGAUCUUUGGGUACGGAAGCAACCGGGAAACCGAUUUGAUUCAGAUUCAUUCAUUGCAAUGUCACAAGUGGAAAUGUUAGAUGUUACAUAGAUAAUAUGUAAGUACAGGUGACGCCCUGCGAGGGCGCAGCAAACAUUGGGGCAGCUAGAUGCCAUUUGAUGAGAGAGAGGACAUCGAUUUAUAUAUUGUAUCCAGUUUAGGACAUUGCAAACCAAAUUACCUCGUAGUUAAAAUUCUUUCGGACCAAAGCCUCAACGCAUUUCAGCCGCAGGAGCCAUCGAAAUGUAUUACUCGAUCUACUGGAAAUUCUUAUACUAUGAUCUUGUUAUUGUCUUACUCUGUACCUUCACUAAUGUAUGAACAUCUGCGUGUCGCCUCGGAAUAGCAAUAGCCCUCGGGUGACAAUCGGUCGACUUUCCAUCGCCAAUUUGUAUGCGCCGCGCAAUCCCUACCCGGCAGCUGCUCGGAAAACUGCCCGUUGUUUUGACGACUAUGAGACGAUCAGAAUGUUAUCUAAAUAUCAUCGCAAUCGUCACAGCAAUACGUGGCGGUUAACAUGGUAUAUGUUUAUCUAUUUGUUAAUGCUCAUAAAAGCGAUACUUCUGGAUAAUAUCGGAUAGUUCUGUAACGUUAAAAUCCACUGUUAAUUAUUUAACUACAUUUUAAGGAUUAGACGAGCAAAGCCGCAGAUAUCAACUAAUUCACAGCCAAGACACUGAACAAUAUGAAUUUUAUUUCCAAACUUCUUCUUCUUCGUCGAGUCGACCGUAUUAACUGCAACUUGCAACAUUAUAAUAUAUCGCUAGCUUAAUUUUUUUCGGAAUAGAAUUCUGCCACGGCCAGCGCAUUAUUUGCAAUGUUAAGAUCACACAAGGUGCACGAAUCCGGCCAAGAUAUACAUUGAAGCAAGUGAGGCAUUGUCUGUAGCGGCUCUCCACCACCGCACCAGCACUGCGUGCGGUCCGCGAAGCCCCACAACACCAUGGUUUUGUUUCCAAUAGAAACUAUAAAUGUGAAAAUGAUUGAAAAUUGAAUAUAAGUACACAAUUCAUCACACCAGUGUUAAGUUAGUAUAUAUGUAGUAUAGCUGUACAUCAUUACUAUGUAUAAGAGUUUUACCUAGAACAUUUUUGAAUAAAAUUAUAUAAAUUAAUAUAAUAUUACAGUCAAUACAUCGAGCUGUGCUGUAAAUAAUGAACGAGAGAUGAAAGCUUUUAAGAAGAUGACUCAAACACAAAUAUAGACAAAACUCAGGGUCCCACUAACACUAAACUUGUCCGAUGGACUGGAGAAAGUGCACAACACACCCAGAACCAAAUAUUUGUGAAUACAGGUACGAAUAUUUACCCGCGCUGAGAAUGGACCUCAAGACCACAUCAACCACUACGCUAUGGACAAUCAAAUGGGCGGUCAUCAAAUGGUCAACACUCAACGGUCCACAUUAGGAUGACAUCAUGGCACAAUGAAACCUUUAAAAAUAACUAAGCGCGUAAGUAUGGAGGAAAAGAGUAGAAGACUUUGACCGGAGUAACAUGAAGAUUUCUAGUUUCAUACCUUGCAAGGAAUUGGAACUUCAUUAAUUUAUAUAAUAAUGUUUGCCUUUAGGCGACUAGAAUAAAAUCUGACACCAGUGUUAGCAAUAAAUAACACAAUCAAUCAGAUUUGGAAUGUGAUCUGCUUCGGGAAAAUUAACAUAUUUAUUUAAAAUUAGCUUUUGCCCCCGGCUUCGCCCGCCUUUGUUUCGUGCUGUCGUACUUAUUAUUGUCAACAUCUCUGAUUCUAAGCAAAUAAUCGCAAUACAUUUUAAAUUAGACUAUCCGCUAUACAACUGUGAAAACCUCAUCCAAUUCCAUCUAGUAGGUUUUACGUGAUGCGCGAACAAACAUAAAGACAGAAAGACAGACAAAUAUUCUAAAGAAAUUUGUUUAAGUUAUAUGUUAAGAGCCAUUUUUUAAUUAGCCCUACAUAAUUAUUUUUUUCUUUAAUAUCUCCUAUGUACAGACAUAGCUCAGUUGCAGUUUUAUUAUAUGUAUAGAUAAACACAAAGUUUAGAAAGUUUAAUACUGACGAGGUCACACAAAUCAUAAUAUUUAUGGUGUCAUAUUUUCGAUGUCACCAUAUUUAAUCACAUUUCAUAUGCAAGUUUCUCCUAUUUGUGAAACUUAUUAUCUAAUUUUAAAUUAUUUUUACGACCAACGUCAUUAUAUAGAAACUCUGAUAUAUAUCUGUCCUGUCUUAAAGAAAAUUUACUAUGGUGAAAAUAUAUUUACGACGCCAGUCAUUUGAACGUUAUGGAAUGUAUGACAGAUCCAAAAUUUAUUAAAGUAUGAUAAUUCAUUGCUAUUUUAUCGCUAUUUUAACAUACAUAUUGAAUAUACAAAUUAAUCAGUAUGUAUAAUAUUAAAGAUUCGUAUAGUUGAUUUCAAAUUAUCAAAACAAGAUGAUUUUCUUUUCUUUUGAUUUAUUGAAUUUUAAAUUAUUUUAUUAUUGUAAAUUGUACACAGUGUAAUAAGGGAAAACUCAGUAUUUACAUGACAUGAUUUCGGAUUCUGUGAAUCACACAGAAAUUUUAUAUCAAUGUUUAAAAAUUGAUAUAA
Long non-coding RNA from Plodia interpunctella (Indianmeal moth), 3147 nucleotides. RefSeq lists it as uncharacterized. The record is from RefSeq and is a predicted model, not a curated record. NCBI's taxonomy places the organism in Eukaryota, Metazoa, Arthropoda, Insecta, Lepidoptera, Pyralidae. The transcript is spliced from 4 exons.